CCCUUAGAUGUCCUGGGCUGCACGCGCGCUACAUUGGGUGCUGAAAUAUGAGAGUGUGAUGCCUGGUCCGAAAUGUUCUGGGUAACCACUAAAAAGCACCGCAUGUGAUUGGGAUUGUCUCUUGUAACUAAGAGACAUGAACGAGGAAUUCCUAGUAAUUUGAUGUCAACAACAUCAUGUGAUUACGUCCCUGCCCUUUGUACACACCGCCCGUCGCUCCUACCGAUUGAGUGAUCCGGUGAGUAAUUCGGACUGGAGCAGUGUUCAGUUCCUGAACGUUGCAUCGGAAAGUUUAGCAAACCUUAUCACUUAGAGGAAGGAGAAGUCGUAACA
Molecule: ribosomal RNA, 333 nt
Filed under: uncultured eukaryote
Lineage: Eukaryota
Description: partial 18S ribosomal RNA
Rfam family: Eukaryotic small subunit ribosomal RNA
Source: RNAcentral